AUCACGUCGCCUGUUUAUCAAAAACAUGUCUAUAUGAAGUUAUAUAAAGUCUAACCUGCCCACUGAAUUUUUUUAAAAGGCCGCGGUAUAUUAACUGUGCAAAGGUAGCAUAAUAAUUAGUUUUUUAAUUGAAGACUUGAAUGAACGGUUGAACAAAGAAAAAGCUGUCUUUAAUAUUUUCUUUGAAUUUUACAUUUAAGUGAAAAGGCUUAAAUUAAUUUAAGGGACGAUAAGACCCUAUAAAUCUUUACAUUUAUUUAAUAUUUAUUAAUUAAGUUGUAAAUUUAUUAAUAUAUUGAAAUAUGUUAUAUUGGGGUGAUAGAGAUAUAAUAAAAAACUGUCUUAAUAAAAAACAUAAAUAAUUGAGCUUAAAUAGAAGAUCCUUCAUAAAGAUUAAAAGUUUAAGUUACUUUAGGGAUAACAGCGUAAUUUUUUUUGAGAGUUCAUAUCGAAAAAAAAGUUUGCGACCUCGAUGUUGAAUUAAAAUUUCUUUAUGAUGCAGAAGUCAUACAUAGAAAGUCUGUUCGACUUUUAAAUUUUUACGUGAUCUGAGUUCAGACCGGA
RNAcentral lists this ribosomal RNA (564 nucleotides) under Munidopsis scobina. Its description in RNAcentral is "partial large subunit ribosomal RNA". It matches the Rfam family "Bacterial large subunit ribosomal RNA", at positions 1784 to 2620 of the family's 2925-position model. The record is from RNAcentral. Lineage: Eukaryota; Metazoa; Arthropoda; Malacostraca; Decapoda; Munidopsidae.